ACCACGCUGCUCCCGCCGCCGUAGCCUACCAUGCUGCUCCAGUUACCAAAGUUAUUGCUCAGCCUGAAGAAAUCGCUUACCCCAAAUACGAGUACUCUUACUCUGUAGCCGACGGACACAGCGGUGACAACAAGCAACAGCAAGAGAUCCGCGACGGUGAUGUCGUAAAGGGCUCCUACUCUUUCCACGAGGCCGACGGCUCCAUCAGAACUGUGGAGUACUCCGCUGACGACCACAACGGUUUCAACGCCGUAGUUCACAACACAGCACCCAAAGUAGCUCCCGCUAUCAUCAAGGCCGCCCCCGUCGUAGUCAAGUCUCCAGUCUACGCCGCCCCUGCUCUCCAGUACUACCACCACUAAGUCACUGCUUGAUGUAGAUUUACCAAAUUAAUAUACUAUUUAUUUAACGCAAUAAACGAAUAAGUUUAGAAAAAUGUUAUCGCUUUAUUUAUAUAAAAAUGUAUUAACAUCAUUUUUAAAAAAUAAUUUAUUUAUGA
This 499-nucleotide unclassified non-coding RNA is filed under the name Melitaea cinxia (Glanville fritillary). Its description in RNAcentral is "misc RNA ENSMCXG00005014896.1". The record is from RNAcentral. Lineage: Eukaryota; Metazoa; Arthropoda; Insecta; Lepidoptera; Nymphalidae.